GAAAAGUUAGUUAAAAUAAUAACUUAAUUUUGUCAAAAUUAUAUUACUAAUUUUAUUAUUUAGUACUUUUCU
RNAcentral lists this transfer RNA (72 nucleotides) under Cirroctopus glacialis. RNAcentral's name for it is "tRNA-Asp". The record is from RNAcentral. Lineage: Eukaryota; Metazoa; Mollusca; Cephalopoda; Octopoda; Opisthoteuthidae.